RNAcentral lists this ribosomal RNA (465 nucleotides) under uncultured bacterium. RNAcentral's name for it is "partial 16S ribosomal RNA". It matches the Rfam family "Bacterial small subunit ribosomal RNA", at positions 29 to 507 of the family's 1533-position model. The record is from RNAcentral.
ACGCACGCUGGCGGUGUGCUUCACCCCUGCAAGUCGCACGGUAAGGCCCUUUCGGGGGUACACGAGUGGCGAACGGGUGAGUAACACGUGAGUAACCUGCCCUCAUCUCUGGGAUAACAGUCGGAAACGGUUGCUAAUACUGGAUAUGAGCUUGCAAGGCAUCUUGUGGGUUGGAAAGAUUUUUUUGGUUGGGGAUGGACUCGCGGCCUAUCAGCUUGUUGGUGAGGUAGUGGCUCACCAAGGCUUCGACGGGUAGCCGGCCUGAGAGGGCGACCGGCCACAUUGGGACUGAGAUACGGCCCAAACUCCUACGGGAGGCAGCAGUGGGGAAUAUUGCACAAUGGACGGAAGUCUGAUGCAGCAACGCCGCGUGCGGGAUGACGGCCUUCGGGUUGUAAACCGCUUUCAAUUGUGACGAAGCUUUUUGUGACGGUAGCAGUAGAAGAAGCACCGGCUAACUACGUG